CCUACGUGAGGCAGCAGUGGGGAAUAUUGCACAAUGGGGGAAACCCUGAUGCAGCGACGCCGCGUGGGUGAAGAAGGUCUUCGGAUCGUAAAACCCUGUUGUUAGAGAAGAAAGUGCGUGAGAGUAACUGUUCACGUUUCGACGGUAUCUAACCAGAAAGCCACGGCUAACUACGUGCCAGCAGCCGCGGUAAUACGUAGGUGGCAAGCGUUAUCCGUAUUUAUUGGGCGUAAAGGGAACGCAGGCGGUCUUUUAAGUCUGAUGUGAAAGCCUUCGGCUUAACCGGAGUAGUGCAUUGGAAACUGGGAGACUUGAGUGCAGAAGAGGAGAGUGGAACUCCAUGUGUAGCGGUGAAAUGCGUAGAUAUAUGGAAGAACACCAGUGGCGAAAGCGGCUCUCGGGUCUGUAACUGACGCUGAGGUUCGAAAGCGUGGGUAGCAAACAGGAUUAGAUACCCCGGUAGUC
RNAcentral lists this ribosomal RNA (465 nucleotides) under uncultured bacterium. RNAcentral describes it as "partial 16S ribosomal RNA". It matches the Rfam family "Bacterial small subunit ribosomal RNA", at positions 338 to 795 of the family's 1533-position model. The record is from RNAcentral.